Molecule: long non-coding RNA, 31177 nt
Filed under: Brassica napus (rape)
Lineage: Eukaryota; Viridiplantae; Streptophyta; Magnoliopsida; Brassicales; Brassicaceae
Description: long non-coding RNA (BNAP_LNC017292)
Source: RNAcentral
CAGCAGCUGUUGUGGCUGCGUUGCCUCCGUGUUCAUGAAACCUGGCCAUUCCAAAAUCUCCUAACCUACCAUUGAACUCGGCGUCUAACAUAACGUUGGAAGCUUUAACAUCUCGGUGCAGAACAACGCGGUCAGCACCUGUAUGAAGGUACCACAGAGCAGAUGCUAUUCCUUUAACAACCACAAGUCUUUGUGACCAAGAAAGAACUGAUUUGGCAUCAUCAAACAAAUGCUCGUCAAGACUACCGUUAGGCAUGUACUCCGAGACAAGAAGAAGCUCAUGCUUUCUCCUGCAAUACCCGAAAAGUGGAACAAGAUUCCUGUGCUUCAGAUAUCUCAUGCUCACAACUUCAGCCAGAAAUUGCUUCAAACUUUCAUCACCAUUAUGGGACACUCUCUUCACUGCUAUUUCUCUGCCUUGCGGAAGAGUUCCUCUAUAGACUUCACCAAAGCCUCCUUUCCCGAGGAACUCAUCUUUACUGAAACCCUUUGUUGCUUUGUACAAGGACUUGUAAGAGAACCGAUGUGCAUCAAACUCCUUCUCCCAUGUUUCAGAAACUUCAGAAUACUUCUUCCUCCUGUGGACAUAAACUCCUACAAGAAAAGCCAAAACCGCAACAGCCACACAAACAACAAGAACAAUAAUCCAUGUAGCCAGAUUCUUAUGCGGAGCUUUGGGAUGAGGAACUUUAGGAAGUUUUGAGAUGUCAAGACCAUGCAGUGAUCCUCUGCCUGUGCUAAAACUCCACCAAAGAAUAUAGUGAUCACACACCUUGCUCCCUGUUGCUGCGGAGAAGCCAACACACAGUUUGGAUCUAUUCCAAAAUAUUUCUGAAAGGCUGAUGUGUUGUGACAAAAGAGGCCGACUUGGCUUCUUGACUUUAAGAGGUGCGAUCGAGACAUUGAGCACAGUGCCGUCAUAAUCCACCCAGACUUGUACAGGCUUUCCAGUCAAGAGGUUCAUGCUUUCGUUUUUCCCUUUUGUGUCUGAAUAGUAAGAUGCUGAAGCUACUCCUACAGAUAUAGGACUGUUCACAUCAAUCCCCACGUGAUUGCUUUUGAGAUCAUUGAACUGUGGGUUAUAAAUAGUGUCAAGCUCAAUAGCAAGAACAGGAAACCCACUUGUUGUUGCGUUAAAAGCCCCCAAGAAUCUUUUAUCUUGUGCGUGCGAGAAAUCCAUAGAAGAAGAUACUAAAAAGGCAAGACCAUGGCCGCCUUCUUUACCUGGCUUAGGCACCAGAGCACACACGAAAUGUGUUGAGAAGGAACUGAACUGAAUUGGAUUCUUGUAGAAUGCCCGGCCUAUUUGAUGAUCUGAAUCGUUUGUCAGCUGCAAUAUUCCAUGGGGAAGUACUUUCGCAGAAGCAUCUAGAUAAAGAUCUUCUUGGGAGCUAAAACUUUCAUAGACAAACCUUGUCUCUUGUUGACUUGAUAGAGAAACCAGAUGAAGAGAAGAGAUAAGGAGGAUCUGAAGCAGCCAACGAGCCAUUGCAGAUGAUGAAUCAGAGAGUGUGGAUCUGAUGUGAAGAUCUUCUCUCAACACCAAGCGACGCAUUUCGAAAACCUCGCAAGCUGGAGAAAAGGUGAACAAGAAAAAGAUGUGAGCUUCUGUUUCAGUGAUCUAAGCCUGUCAAUGUUGUUUUCUUAUAAAACUGGACUCCACUUAACACGUUGAUAUUAAAUAAAGUAUAACGUGGUACAUACGGGGUAGUAGGGCGGGGUGUUCGGCUACCCAUUCGGGUUCGGUUCAGAACUAUUUGGGUUUCGGAUUUUCGGGUUUAAAGAUUUCAGUCUCGUUCGGAUAUUUUUAAAUUUCGGUUCGGGUUCGGUUCGGAUCUUUGCGGGUUCGGUUCGGGUUCGGAUAACCCAUUUAAAUUAUUUUUUAAAUUUUAAUAUUCAUUAUAUGCUUAAAAUUUCUCAAAAUCUAUAAAAAUAUAUAUAUAUAUAUAUGUAAUAUAUAUUUGUAUAAUAUAUGUCAAAAUACCUAAAAUUAACAUAUAAAUUGGUUUGAUUUGAAUAUUUGGAUAGAAAAUCAAUAGAUAUUUCAAUUAUUUUGGUGUUUUGAAUUUAUUUUAGCUAUUUUACACAUUUACUUUUGACUAUUUAUGUAUAUUUUCAAGUAUUUUAGACAACUUAAAAAGCCUGAAUCAUCUUCUGGUGUUUCUGGUGUUGAUUCAUGCUCAUUGCACUACAAGAAAACAGCGGUAUUCUGAUGGACAUUCUGACGAAAAAUAGUUUUUAAUAUAUAUUAAAUCUAAAAAUAAGUAAUAUAUUUAAGUGUAUAAAUCUAUUUCGGUUACAUUCGGGUACCCGAAAUAUUUCGGUUCGGAUCGGGUUUGGUUUCGGUUCUUUAGAUAUCAAAAUUUUGAAUCCGUUCGGAUAUUUAAUCAAUUUCGGUUCGGGUUUGGUACUACUUUUUCGAAUCGGGUUUGGUUCGGUUCUUCGGAUAUGGGUUUUUUGCCCAACCCUACGGGGUAGCAAACAUAAUUAAACUAAUCAAACCAUGAAACGUGAGAGAAACGGUAGUUAGGUCCUACUUUGUUUACCUAACCCAUUACGAUUAUUUAAUUAAGCUCUGCAGGGUGCAGGAGAACACGUUCACACAUGAAAAAUAAAUCAAAUAACUAUAGCAUAAUACACUCUUGUGCUACUCAGAAACCGCAAGUAAGGGCGGGAAUUGCACAGACCGCCUUCUUUCAUUUGUUGGUUAUGUCUCUGCAGUAGGUUGAAACUAAGAAAACAUAAAGUCCCUAAAUGUACAAUUUAUAAACUUAAUUACAAGCUACCAGCUUUACCUUGGGGAUGGUAUGGUAUCGUAGAGAAAAUUCAUUAAUGUAAAUGAGAAUCAGAUGAGAGGUUGGUGGUCGAAUACCUGCUCUAACGAAGGAAGAAUCCAACAAUCAGCAGGGGAUAUGACAUGCAACUUCAAGAUUCCUUCACUGAGACUCUCAGUUCUGGCACAUGAUUUGUGCAAAGCAAAACCUCAGCUGAGAAUUCUACGCUCAACACUCGGGUCCACCGACAGGCAUCCACACAUGUCUCUUUUCAAAGGUUACUUCAAGCACAAAGGCAUACAUGUCGGUUGCACAGAAAGCUGCCAUUGUUGCAAGCUCUGGGGAGAUUGUGGUAUCCAGCUCCCACAAAUGCUGGCUGCGGUGAUUAUGUUGUCACAGUGAUCGUAAAAGCCUAAACAUAACAGAACUUAUUAACACAUCAGUAUCUAACAUAACAUCAGAAGCCUUGAUUCAAUCAAUCAACUUAUUGAGCCCCUCUGUGCACUACCUUUACAAGUAGAGACUCCAAGAACCUAAGAUCACUUUUAAAACCAGUAGAAGGAAGCACUGUGCUGAGAUUUUAAAACGAAUUCAUCAAAUACCAAGCAGAUAAAAGGAGAUUCACCUUCUCCUAAUCCCUAAUCGGGGGGAUUCCUGGGAAUUAGUAGGGAACGAAAGAGACAGAUACUCAGACAAGAUUCGUAUCAAAUCAAAAUACAUUACAAUCAAGUCUCCACAUUAGCAUUUGAAGACUCAACAAUCGACAGAGUAAGCAAAACGGAUAUUACAUUUUUCAUUAGAAAGAAUACUUGCACAUCACCAUUAACUCUUUGUGAUUCAAAUCAAACCAAGCAAACGAAAGAGAAGAAUUAAAACAAAAUAGCAACACAGAACACACAAACAAAGAAGUAACAAGCUUGCUUCACAGAUCUCCUGGGUAGGAGGAGGGCAUGAUGACUGAAGAACAAAUGGAAGAACAAGAGAGAGACUUAGAACAGAAAUCAAGAGUAAGAGAAAUAGAGCAAAGUAGGAUUUUAUUUUCCUCAGAUUUAGAUCUGUGUAAAAAGGAUUUUUAUAGCCAAAUACAUAAACAUUAAAGAUAUGGAAAAAAGAAAAAGAGAUGAGAUUCCAACAGCUAUAUCCAACAACUAUAUUUUUGAAUUUGAACUUCUUUUGGACUGUAGUGAACAGUGCUGCGAAUCCCUUCAGCACCAAAGUGCUCAAUGCAGGUUUCUCAAAUCGCUCACUUUGACCAAAGUGCUCAAUGCAGGUUUCUCAAAUCGCCCACUUUGAUGCCGUAGGUAAUAUGUUCUUUAACAUCAAAGUGCUCAAUGUAGCUAUCUCAAAGUUCUCACUUCAAUGCUGUAGGCAAACUUGAUCUCUUAAUAUCAAUACUACUCCUCAAGCUUGACCAUAAGAAAUGGGUAAGUUUGGAACCCAUGAAGACAUCCCUCAUUAAAACCUUUGUGUGAAAAGCCAGUGGGACAAAAACAGACAAAGGAAAAAAAAGUAGAUGCUUCAUGGCUAAGGAAAUCAUGAUCUAAAUAGGUUUAUAAGUCCCAACCUUGGAUGAAUGAACUUACAGACUUUGGUGCUUGCCCCUUUGGUAAAGAUAUCUGUCAAUUGAUCUUCACUUCUUGUAUAGCAAGGUAAGAUGAUCUUCUGCUCUACUGCUUGUCUCACUUUGUGACAGUCCACUUCAAUGUGCUUUGUCCUCUCAUGAAACACUGAGUUUGAUGCAAUGUGAAUGGCCGCCUGAUUAUCACAAUGCAUUGUGAUUGGUGUGGUUAUCUCUAUGCCCAAGUCUCUUAGGAGGUUUUUGAUCCAAAUGAGUUCACUCGUGAGCUUCCUCAUUGCCCUAUAUUCUGCUUCAGCACUUGAACAUGACACCACCUUCUGCUUCUUGCUUUUCCAAGUCACUAGGUUACCUCCAAUAAAGGUACAAUAACCGGUUGUGGACCUCAUGUCCACUCUAUCACCAGCCCAAUCUGUAUCACAAUGUCCCACAAUCUCUGUGCUCUUGUUGCAGCCCAUUCAUACACCAUGGCCUGGAGCUUCUCUUAGGUACCUCAAGAUCCUUUCCACCAUAUUCCAAUGGUGAACUUUAGGUGCUUGCAUAUGCUGGCUGACUUGAUUUACAACAAAGCAGAUGUCUGGUCUUGUGAUGGUGAGAUAAAUCAACUUCCCAACCAUUAUUCUAUAGAGUUUGAAGUCUCCAAAUGGCUUAUCUUCAAACUCCCCCUCACGCAAGACUUUGUAACCUUCUUCAAGUGGUGUUUUGGCUACUCUUUCUCCAAGUUUUCCUGCCUCAUUUAAAAGAUCAAGUGUGUACUUUCUUUGAGAUAAGAAAAGCCCCUUUUUAGAGCGGCAUAUUUCUAUCCCUAGAAAGUACUUUAGCUCACCCAAAUCUUUAAUAUCAAAGGUAGAUUUAAGAAAAGCUUUAGUAGAGAUGAUACUUUCCUUGUCACUUCCUGUGAUAAUAAUGUCAUCCACAUAGAUCAGUAUCACCAUAAUUUCUUGCUUGCCUGUGAGAGCGAAGAGAGUAUGAUCAGUUUCUGAUUUUACAAACCCUCUUCCAUUGAGGGUUGUACUCAGCUUGUGAUACCAGGCUCUUGGAGACUGUUUUAAUCCAUAGAUUGUUUUCUUCAGCCUUAGGACAUUUCCUGGCUUGACCAUGUCUUCCAUACCAGGUGGUGGUCUCAUAUACACUUCAUCUUCAAGCUCUCCUUGUAGAAAUGCAUUCUUGACAUCCAUCUGCCAUAGAUCCCAUUCCAAGUUCACAGCCAAAGAGAGCAGAAUUCUUAUGGUGUGGAGCUUAGCUACUGGUGCAAAGGUGUCUAGAUAGUCUUCUCCAUAGACUUGGGUGUAUCCUCUUGCAACUAGUCUUGUUUUCUUCCUUUCUGGCUUUCCAUUAGCCAAGUACUUGACAGUGUAGAUGAGGCGACUUGUUACUGCUCUCUUGCCUUUGGGAAGUUCAGUUUCAUACCAAGUAUCAUUCUUGACCAUGGCAUUGACUUCAUCUCCAACUGACUCUCUCCAUUCUUCAUCAGCCAUAGCUUCCUCAUAUGUUUUUGGAACAUACUCUUGGUCCAGGUUACUAAUGAAAGCUACAUGCUCUUGAGGAUAGCUUGCAAAGGAGCAGGUUGCUUGGAUAGGAUGAGCCACUGCGUUGCUGUUGAAGUAUAUUCUGGUGUCGACCCACUUGGAUGGUUUCCUCACUCUAGCACUCCUCCUCAAUGGUUGAAUCUGCUCUUCUACCACUGCGUCUUCAUACUGAUCAGAUUCAACUCCAUCUUGAUCAUGAACUGAUGCUGAAUCAUCUUCUGGUGUUUCUGGUGUUGAUUCAUGCUCAUUGCACUACAAGAAAACAGCGGUAUUCUGAUGGACAUUCUGACGAAAAAUAAAAUCCUCAGAAUAUCCCGAGGAAUUUCCGAGGAAACACAAAAUUUGGUUUCCUCGGAAUUUCCUCGGAAUAAACCGACGGAAUUCUGAGGAAAUAUUAAUCCGACGGAAUAUUCUUAUGGAAUACCGAGGAAAAAUGUAUUCCUCGGAAAAAACCGAUGAAUUCCGAGGAUAUAUUAUAGCCGUUAUAGAGCCGUUGGGGGAUUUUAAAAAUUCCGACGAAAUUCCGACGAACUAGCCGUUUCCGUCGGAAUUCCGUCGAAAUUUCCUCGGUCUGUCGGCAGGAUUUCAACUAUAAAUACUAGCACCCCUCUUCCUCUUCAUUCACUCCAUAUCUUCAUCCUCCCUCUUACUCUCUUUACACACGAAUUUGAUUCAUAAAAAACAUGUCUUCUUCAAAUUAUUUUCGUUCUUGGAUCGAUCGACCUCAUUUGGAUCCGAACACGAGAUUGCUUACGGAAGAAUACCAACGAGGUAUAACCGAAUUCAUGGGGUUAGUUCACCGACAACCGGAAGCAAAAACAGGUAUGUUAAGAUGUCCUUGCUCUAAUUGUAAAAAUAGAAAGGUUAUUAAAGAGUGGGAUGUUUGGACUCAUCUAUAUUUGAGUGGGUUUACACGAAGUUACAAAAUUUGGUAUCAUCAUGGGGAAACUGAUUAUGAACAUGGUAGUACUAGCGAACCUCAGCCAGCGGUUAGAUUAGAAGAACCAAUUAGAACGGAUGUAGAUUAUGGUGUAGGUACUGAGCAGAUGGUAAAUGAUCAUUUUAGAGGGAAAGAUUUACCCAAUGCACAAGCUAGGAGAUUUUAUGAUAUGUUGGAUGCUGGAAAGCAACCAUUGUACGAAGGUUGCAGAGAUGGUCAUUCAGCUUUAUCAUCUGCUACAAGAUUGAUGGGCAUUAAAACAGAUUAUAAUUUGGCUGAAGACUGUGUGGAUGCGAUUGCUGAUUUUGUAAAAGGUAUUCUACCCGAGGAUAAUGUAGCUCCUGGUUCAUACUACGAGGUUCAGAAACUCGUAGCUGGUCUUGGUUUAUCGUAUCAGGUAAUAGAUGUAUGCAGCGACAACUGCAUGAUUUAUUGGAGGGCGGAUGAACAGCGGGUUACAUGCAAAUUUUGUGGAAAGCCUCGUUAUAAAGAUACGAGUGGAAGAGUUCCAGUGCCAUAUAAAAGGAUGUGGUAUUUACCUUUGACGGAAAGGUUGCAGAGGUUGUAUCUGUCUGAACGCACAGCGCAACCAAUGAGAUGGCAUGCGGAGCACUCAACAGAUGGUGAGAUCAGACAUCCUUCAGAUGCAAAAGCGUGGAAGCAUUUCCAAUCAAAGUAUCCCGACUUUGCGUAUGAGAGAAGAAAUGUCUACCUUGGAUUAUGUACUGAUGGUUUCAGUCCGUUUGGCAAGAGUGGAAGACAGUAUUCUCUAUGGCCCGUCAUUCUUACACCAUACAACCUACCCCCAAACUUGUGCUUGCGACGAGAGUUUUUGUUUCUCUCGAUUCUCGUUCCCGGACCAGAGCAUCCUAAGAGAUCACUUGAUGUGUUUCUUCAGCCACUAAUAUAUGAGUUGCAACAACUAUGGGCUCAAGGUGCUGAAACAUACGAUGUUUCGUGUAAAGAAAACUUUCAAAUGCGGGCAGUACUAAUGUGGACAAUAAGUGAUUUUCCAGCAUAUGGUAUGUUGUCUGGAUGGACAACGCAUGGAAGGCUAUCAUGUCCAUAUUGUCAAGAUAACACUGAUGCUUUCCAACUAAAACACGGAAGGAAAACGUGUUGGUUUGACUGUCACAGGAGAUUCCUACCACCUGAUCAUCCAUAUCGUAGGAGUAGGAAUUUGUUUACGAAGAACAAGAGGGUGUUUGACAGUCCACCUCCGGAAAUUUGUGGGAAAGAUUUGAAGAUACAACUAAGAGAUUUUGGUGCAGAAAGGACGCCAGAAGUCGGUGGACAUGAGCGUUUUCCGGUAGAUGCUGUUGGAGAACUACAUAACUGGCACAAAAAAAGUAUUUUCUGGGAUCUGCCAUACUGGGAGGAUCAUCUGCUAAGGCAUAAUUUAGAUGUCAUGCAUAUUGAGAAGAACUUUUUUGACAAUCUCAUGAACACGAUCCUUAAUGUUCAAGGUAAAACAAAGGAUAAUUUGAAGUCAAGACUGGAUUUAGUCGAUAUAUGUGCUCGUUCAGAACUUCAUGUUGAUGAGAAUGGUAGGGCUCCUUUUCCCAUAUACCGACUUGAUGCAGAGGGAAAAGAUGCGUUCUUUGAUUGGAUUUCAAACGAUGUGGAAUUUCCAGACGGUUACGCAUCAAAUUUGCGUAACUGUAUCGACAGAAAGGAAGGAAAGUUUACUGGCUUGAAAAGCCACGAUUGCCAUGUAAUGAUGCAGCGCCUCCUUCCGUUCGCCUUCAAGGAACUAUUACCACGAAAUGUUCAUGAAGCAAUUGCAGGGAUAAGUGGUUUCUUCCGCGAUUUAUGCACGAGAUCAGUGACUCUUGAAGGUAUUGAAAAUUUGAAGACUAACAUAGCCGUGAUUCAGUGCAACCUUGAGAAGAUAUUUCCUCCCUCAUUUUUUGAUGUUAUGGAGCAUCUUGUUAUUCACCUGGCAAGAGAAUUGGAACUUGGUGGUCCUGUGCAGUAUAGAUGGAUGUAUCUGUAUGAGCGGUAUAUGUUCCAUUUGAAGAAGAUGGUGAAAAAUUUAAGUAGGGUGGAAGGUUCUAUAGUCGCACAGAUGAUCAAUGAAGAAACUUCAAACUUUGCCGAGUACUACUUUCCAGCAGAAGUUCAGACCAAAAACAGAAGACCUGCUCGGCAUGAUGAUAGAGGCGAACGGGCAACAUAUCAUUUUACGGUUCCAGACAUUUUCACAGACGUUGGACGACUUAGCGGAAAACCAAAGGACCGUCGACUUACUGAGCAGGAGCGCAGUCAUUUGCAAACAUAUUUGCUCACCAACUGCGAAGACGUUCUUCAAUAUGAGAGGUAAAUAAAUGAGCUUACAAAUUUUUAUUUUAACAAGUUGAAAUUUAAAUCUUAAUUAAUUACAUUAUUGUCAUCAUAUACAGGAUUUUCAUGGCAGAAAAGCGGUUCGAGUAUAGAUACGCCACAGAGGACGAACUAGAAGAAAUGAAGCAGAGAGAAUUUACUGGAUGGAUGUUUACUUAUGUGAGUGCUUUAAACAAAUUAAAAUAUAUUUUAUCACAUAUUUAUACUAAUUCACAUUUAUUGAUAUAAUAUAUAUAUAUGUGCUAUUAAUAGGUGUCUGCUGGUUUGGCCAGAGGUGAAACAUUUGACGAUUGGAUACGUGAGAUGGUCGUUGGACCAAACUUUGUUGUGAAGUCAUAUCCGAGAUUUUGUACUCGAGGAUAUGCAUUCACAACUCAGAAGAGGAGACGUUCGAGUACGACUUAUGAUGCUGGCGUUUGUUCUGCAUCAGGAGAUGAUGUAUACUACGGACACAUACAUGAGAUUUUGGAAAUCAAGUAUUUGGGCAUGGUUGGAUUGCGCUGUACUGUUUUCUAUUGUGAUUGGCACGACAACACUCCAGAUCGAGGUGUGAGAACAGAUGCAUUUGGUGUUACAUCAGUAAAUUCGAGGCGAAAGCUGCAAUAUUAUGAUCCUUUCAUUCUUGCUUCUCAGGCCGAUCAGGUAAUUAAAUGUUAAUUAUUCAGAAUGAUUCAUCAUCAUGUGUAUUAAUUUAUAAUUUUUCUAAAUGUUACAGGUUUGUUAUAUCAAGUACCCCCGGGUAAGGAACAGAGAUGAUCCAUGGGUUACUGUUACAAGACUCAACCCGAGAGGCCGAGUUCAGGGAAGUUCUGAGCUGGAAGACCCACUACAACCAAGCACAUCCGGCAACUUAAGUGCAGCAGAAGAUUUAGCUGGAGUUGGCCUUGUAGUCGAUUUAACCGACUUUGGAGAGGAAGCCGUCGUUCACGUAGAGGAUGAACCAGUGAUUGGAGAGUUUCACCAAGAUCCAGAUUCAGAUUCAUCUGGUGAUGAUGACUCGGAAACAGACUACCAUUGAACUUAUUUUUUUUUUUUUUUAAAGAAAUACCGAGGAAAUUCCGAGGAACACUUGAUAUAACCUCUUUCCUCGGAUAAUAGUUAUUUGGUUUAUCUAGCAAGGCAAAGCUGAAUACGAAUUAAAAACUACUCAAAACACAACCAAAUAAAACGAAGAAACCAUGUAAAAGAAAUACGAACUCAUAAUUAAGAAACCCAAAAAAAAACUCAGUUCAAAAUUAACAGAAAAUAAGACCAUAAAACGUUAGAAUAGAAAAGAAAAUAAAAUAGCCGGUGAUAGCUCCUACUCCUCGUCUCCUGCUCCAGAUGUUCCUGCAUCGUUGGGUCUCUUGGACCUCUUUCUUACCCUGUGUGUACCACUCGAACCCGAACCAGAGCUGGAUGGAGAGUUGUCCCGAUGAACUACAUCAUCCUUUUGGCAACGACACGGCCUGAUACGUGAAAUGGCAGCCCAGAUCUUGUGUAGCAUGUCGUUGUUUGUCUUUAUGCUCUGAUCUCUCCAAUGUUGUUGCUGGCGCGAAGUGGCGUUCGGUGGAAGCUCUUGCAGCUUGUACUGGCUGGAGUCUGAUGGGAGUAGCUGAUGGGGUUGUGAAUCAUCUGGAAUGGCUUGUGCAGCCUCAUCUUCUCCUUCUUCAUCAACCACGCCCUUGCCUUUGGUCUGAUAUUUUGGCGUGAAGAAGGAUGGCUUGUCUACUAGUGCGGUAGCAGGGGGUAGGAACUCAACUGCAGCCUCUGAAAGUAGAGCAGUCAGGCCGAUCUGAGGCAGGUGGCAGUAGAGUGUUUUCUUCGCUCGGUCCUGGAAUACGUAGACGUAAGGACCAUCCCGAUCGAUCCUCGAGUGGGGACCAGCUAUGAACUCCUUACUUACUAGAGAAAUGACAUCCAGGUAGUUCCAAGCAAUGUUGUUCGAUCUGUCCAGUGCUACCUGCUGGUUCUUGCAGUCUACACCCACAUGUCUAAGGAUCCGAGUAAUCACUGCACCAAAUCCACAUGCAUUGCUCUUGGAUUUGGUUACUUUCCCCUUGUAUCCUGCUAAGUUUGCGGCCAGCACCGCUCCCAUGUUGAAGGCAGUAGCAGGUGGGAAUGUAGAGUUUCCAAAUGCCGGUAGCAAAUGCCUCACACCUUGGUACAGGAGGCACAACUCCCAUUGCGUGACUGAUGCGGCUGUGGUUGUCCCGUAUAGCAAUGAGCCAAUGAGGCGUGUGGCAUAUCUCAGUACUGGGCUCCGGAUAAGUGACUCCUUUGCCUGAGAAGAUCUAUAAACCCCUGUGCCAAUCGUUUCCCAGAAGUUCAACAGCUCUGAAGUCCAAUAAAGACCAGAUGUCCUCUCCCCUGCACUCAAUCCAAAUAGUCCGCAGAGGUCUGUGAAAGAUACCUCAUAGUAUACUUUCUGCACUACGAAUGCCAGAAAACCUUCCUGAUGGCUAUCAUCGGGACGGGUGACGUAUGCGGAUGCUAUGAACUGGCGUACCAACUCCGGAUAAGUGGGUUCCUUGAGGUUGCAUAGUUGGCCUAGACCCAUGUUCUGGAACAGUCCUUCAAUGUCUGCUUUGAUUCCCAAUAUUGUCAUCGUCUCAGGACAUGCUAGUUGUGUAGCCGGAACGGCUACCUUCUUCAUGUUGUUGUAGUGGGUGGUAUCAGACUUAUCCCACUUCUUUGGCCUUUGCUUCUCCAGCUGUGACGAACCCGCUUCUUGUGUGUUUUUCUUUGCUGAUGUUUUCGUGCGCUUCAUUCUCUACAAAAUAGAAUCAUUGCUCUCAACAUGGUUAUAAUCAAUUAAGAAGGCAAAGCUGAACAUGAAAAUGAAAAGCAAAAUCGAGUUGUGAUAAAAAAAAACGAAAUUGAAAAAAAUUCUCUAUCCCUAAAUCAUCUCAAAUCAUGUUCCAAACUCGUUGAUCACAGACAAUUGUGUUCUAUUCCAUGUUUAAACAUCUGUUUCAUGCAUAUUUGAUCAAGGAAUCAACACGGAAAUAAGAAAUUCACAAAACCCAAAAAAUUGCUCAAGAACACGAUUUCAGAAUGUGGAGAUUCGCGGAGUAUACCUGUCUUAGGGUGAAGACGAGUGUAGGAAUCAGGUAGAGCUCGAAAAAUCAAGUGGAAUAGAGCCCAAAAUUGUUCAAAUCGGAUGAUUAUAGAGAGAGAAAGGGGGGCGAAUUAUAGGGGAAAUCGGAGGGGAUGAGAGUUCUAAGGUUUAGAUCCAAAAAAGGUCGGGUUUUGCCUUAUAAUUCUGUUUUCCGAACACGCAUCGAUCGAUGCGUUUUGUUUCUAUAACGCAUCGAUCGAUCACAUUCUUACGGCCCGGGCCAUCUUGGUAAUCGAUCGAUGCGUUUUUGUUCUAUAACGCAUCGAUCGAUGCGUUUUUAAAAAAACAUACAAGAUUUUCCGAGGAAAUUCCGAGGAACAAUUCAGAUUGUCGAUCGAUCGAUGGGAUACUCUCAUCGAUCGAUCACAAUCUUACGGCCCGGUCCAUCCUAGUAAUCGAUCGAUGCGUUUUUGUUCUAUAACGCAUCGAUCGAUGCAUUUUUAAAAAAACAUACAAGAUUUUCCGAGGAAAUUCCGAGGAACAAUUCAGAUUGUCGAUAGAUCGAUGGGAUACUCUCAUCGAUCGAUCACAAUCUUACGGCCCGGUCCAUCCUAGUAAUCGAUCGAUGCGUUUUUGUUCUAUAACGCAUCGAUCGAUGCAUUUUUAAAAAAACAUACAAGAUUUUCCGAGGAAAUUCCGAGGAACAAUUCAGAUUGUCGAUAGAUCGAUGGGUUACUCUCAUCGAUCGAUCACAAUCUUACGGCCCGGUCCAUCCUAGUAAUCGAUCGAUGCGUUUUUGUUCUAUAACGCAUCGAUCGAUGCAUUUUUAAAAAAACAUACAAGAUUUUCCGAGGAAAUUCCGAGGAACAAUUCAGAUUGUCGAUAGAUCGAUGGGUUACUCUCAUCGAUCGAUCACAAUCUUACGGCCCGGUCCAUCUUAGUAAUCGAUCGAUUCGUUUUUGUUCUAUAACGCAUCGAUCGAUGCAUUUUUAAAAAAACAUACAAGAUUUUCCGAGGAAAUUCCGAGGAACAAUUCAGAUUGUCGAUAGAUCGAUGGGAUACUCUCAUCGAUCGAUCACAAUCUUACGGCCCGGGCCAUCUUAGUAAUCGAUCGAUUUGUUUUUGUUCAAAAACGCAUCGAUCGAUGCGUUUUUUAAAAAAAAAUUACGUUUUGAAACCCCAAACACUAGUUCGUCGGAAUUUCCUCGGAAUAUUCCGAGGAAAUUUCGAGGAAGAAGAGGGUUUCGUCGGAGUUCCCUCGGAAUAAUCCGAGGAAAUUCCGAGGAAAUAGGGUUUUUAAACCGAAAACAACGUUUUGCCGUUUGAAUAACACCUAUAUAACCCUUAUUAAGUGUCUUACGUUCAUUAUGAAGUCAAAAAUUUGUUCCUUACCGUAUAAUUAACACUUUUCCGAUUGUAUGAACGAAAUCUCGCAACAUAAGAGAAACACUUAUACCUUUUAAUGAACGGUAAAGGGAAUACUUUCAAUUAGUUUUGAAAUUUGUUAUUUCAUGGUUUAUGCUCAUGUAUACAAAGAAUCCUCAAUGGUAUGCAUUACAAUUGUAUAAGAAAUGAAAUACGGCAAAAAAAAUUGAUGUUUUGAAACCCCAAACACUAGUUCCUCGGUAUUUCCUCGGAAUAUUUUCAUUUUACCGGGCAAAUAUUUCGCGAAAAUUGAAAUUAGAAUUCCGACGGAAUUCCGACGGAUAAUGUCCGUCGGACCCUAGGUUUUAUAACCACGAGCCCCUUCUUCUUCCCCAUUUCUCUCUUCUUCCUCUGCGCGACUCCUCUCUUUCUCUCCGGCGAUUUCCCCCUGAAAUCCGACGAUAUCUCCGGCGAUCUCCCUCUUCUCUUACACAAAUCAUGUAAGGACCCUAUCCCACUCUCUUAGGUUCUAUUUGUUAGGUUUUUGUGUAGUUUUGAUAGAUUUUUGUUAGGGUGAUUGGUUAGGAUUGUGAUUUGGUUGUAUAAUAGGUUUAGAAUUGUGAUUUGGUUGAAUAAUUUGUUUUGUUGAAUUGAUUUAGAAUUUUUUUAUAAUUUUUUUAUUUUUUGUAUUUAUAAAAUCGAUUUUUGUAUAUAAAAUCGAUUUUUGUAUUUUACAAAACGAUUUUUCUAUAUAAAUUCGAUUUUUUGGAUUUUACAAAAAAAAAUUUCUAUAUAAAUUCGAUUUUUUGGAUUUUACAAAACAUUUUAAUUAUUAAACAAUUUUUAUUUAUUAAAACUAUUUUUGUUUAUUAGAACUAUUUUUAUAUAUUUAUUAAAAAAAUUUAAUAUAUAUAAAUCUUUUUCUGUGAUUAAAUUAUUUGGGAUUUUUUUUUAAUAAAAAAAAUUAAUUUAUAUAUUUCUGUAUUUAUUAAAUAUAUAUUUUUUAAUUUACAGGUCUCAUGAUGAUCAGACCCGGCCUCGACAGCGUCGUGGUCGUGGUGGUACGGGGAGCCAGUCUCGGGAUUCCAGCCAUUUUCAGGAUUCCCCUUCGCCCCACAGCUCCAACCAUACAUCUCCCUCUGCUGCACCCGCUCAUGCUCCUCUCGCUCCCGCUGCUGCAUCCGCUCCUGUUCCUCCGGGUCCUCCGGGAGUGAUGAGGGUUGCGGAGUUGGUUCAACAGCCCGGUCGUGACCAUCUUCCGUAUCUCACUCCGUAUCCACAUGGACGGGGUCAAACAUGGUAAUUAAACAUAUUUUUUUUUCAUUAAAAUUUGAUUCAUUAUUAAGCGUUUGUUCUUUUCAUUAUGUUCAACCGAUCCGGGAACGGGAUCAGUGCAUGGAUCAACCGUAUGAUGUACUCGGCCCUCGACAGUGGACAUCCGACUUUCACUCACUUCCCAACCGACAAGCAGGUUCUGUGGUUUCGUCAGUUUGCGGUAAGUAUUCUAAUUUUUUACUUAUAUUUUUAAUCUUUAAUAUAAAUUUUCUACUAAUUGUGUUUUUUUUUCAGCAAGAAUUCAACUGGAAUUCCGAUGAGACGCUCUUUAUCUAUCACCACUUCGUCCAUAAAGUUAUGGACAACUAUGGGAAGCAGAUCCACGAGUGGAAGAGGAAGUGGGAAAUCAACAAGGUUCGAUUUAAUUUAUUAAACAAUUUUUUAAUUUAUUAAACUUUUUUUAUUUAUUAAACUAUUUUCUCUUUUUUUUUAUUAAAAGGUCUCAAAGUCGAUAAACAACAUGGUCUGGACGGAGUUGUGUGCGCAUUGGGAUAAGGAAGAGACGAAAGAAACUUCUUCCACCAACUCCACCAACCGCAGGAGCGACCGUAAAGGGAAGGGCGUCUUCAAGCAUAACUUGGGUGCUCAAUCUAUUGCCUCUCUGAGAGAUCGCAUGGUAAGUUCAGCCGCUUUUUCUUCAAUUAUUUAAGUUUUGAAAUUUUAUUUUUUGUCUAUUUCUUCUAAUUUCUAAUGUUUCUUUAAUUUAUGUUUUUUUCAAGGCAGAAGAAAAUGAUGGCGAGCCGGUUGAUGAUUUCGACCUAAUGAAGAUGGCAUAUACUAACAAGAAGACCGCCCAGAUUGAUGACGGUCUUGUGAGGGAAGUGGCCACCCUUGUCCAAACUCAGGUGCAAACAAGCAGCAUCUGUGGUUUCGUCAGUUUGCGGUAAGUAUUCUAAUUUUUUACUUAUAUUUUUAAUCUUUAAUAUAUAUUUUCUACUAAUUGUGUUUUUUUUUUCAGCAAGAAUUCAACUGGAAUUCCGAUGAGACGCUCUUUAUCUAUCACCACUUCGUCCAUAAAGUUAUGGACAACUAUGGGAAGCAGAUCCACGAGUGGAAGAGGAAGUGGGAAAUCAACAAGGUUCGAUUUAAUUUAUUAAACAAUUUUUUAAUUUAUUAAACUUUUUUUAUUUAUUAAACUAUUUUCUCUUUUUUUUUAUUAAAAGGUCUCAAAGUCGAUAAACAACAUGGUCUGGACGGAGUUGUGUGCGCAUUGGGAUAAGGAAGAGACGAAAGAAACUUCUUCCACCAACUCCACCAACCGCAGGAGCGACCGUAAAGGGAAGGGCGUCUUCAAUCAUAACUUGGGUGCUCAAUCUAUUGCCUCUCUGAGGGAUCGCAUGGUAAGUUCAGCCGCUUUUUCUUCAAUUAUUUAAGUUUUGAAAUUUUAUUUUUUGUGCAUUUCUUCUAAUUUCUAAUGUUUCUUUAAUUUAUGUUUUUUUCAAGGCGGAAGAAAAUGAUGGCGAGCCGGUUGAUGAUCUCGCCCUAAUGAAGAGGGCGUAUACCAACAAGAAGACCGGCCAGAUUGAUGACGGUCUUGUGAGGGAAGUGGUCACCCUGGUCCAAACUCAGGUGCAAGACGAAGUGUCUCAGCUUCAAACCGAGGAUGACGCUUCGACGGCUUCGACCAACUUGUCCCGGUUUCGAAUCAACGAAAUCGUUGAAUCCGUAAGUUCUUUUUUUUUAAAGUUCAAUUCAUUUAUUUCUUGAUUUAAAUUUGGCUAUUUUCUAUUUCAGUCGGUUCCAAAGAAGAAGGGACGUUUGGUCGGUUUGGGUCGUCGCACCCGGUCGGUUCCUCCUUCUUCUGCACCACCGCCCUUUGUUGAUCCAGAAGUACUUACGGCUCAGUUGAAGGACAAGGAUGAUCGCAUAUCUUUGUUGGAGACCCAGAUGGCGGCUCAACAGGCGGGCUAUGAGGCACAGAGGAGGCUGAACCAGCAAAUGAUGGAGAUGAUGCAGAGGAUGUACCCGAACGAGGUGUUCCCGAACGUGCCAGACCCGUAGUUUUUUUUUUUUCAAAAACUCGGAAUGUUUUAUUUUUAUUUGUACAACUUUGAAUAUUAACUAAUAUGAUUUCAAUUUUAAUUUUAAUUUUAUAUUUUCGAAUUUAAAUUUCAAAAAUUUUAUUUUUUUAAAAAAAAAUAUUUUUUUUUUAAAUUCCGAGGAAAUGAACCCUCGGAAUAUACCGAGGGACAUGUUCCUCGGAAUAUACCGAGGGACUCAUUCCUCGGAAUAUACCGAGGGACUCGUUCCUCAGAAUUUUCCGAGGGCUCCGUUCCUCGGAAAUUCCCGAUGAAAAUUCCGAGGAACAUUUCGUCGGAACUUCCGAGGAUUGGACCAUCGGAAAUUCCAUCGAAAUAUCCCGAGGAAGUUCUCCCUCGGUAUAUUCCGAGGAGCUUUCCGACGAACUGGUGGUCCUCGGAGUUUCCUCGGAAAUUUGUUUCCUCGGAAUUCCGUCGGAAAAUUCCGAGGGAUUUCCGAGGAAAAAUGAAUUUCCGAGGAGUUAUUUAUGAGGACUUUUUUCGUCGGUAUGUCGUCGGAAUAACGUUAUUCCGACGACAUACCAACGAUUUUUUCCCUCAGUAUGUCGCUGUUUUCUUGUAGUGUUGUCCCCCUCAGGAUCAGGAUGGACUGGUUCAACAAUUGGUACUACUUCUUCAUUGGUUACAGCCACUAGUGUUGAGGGAGAGGUUCUAGGCGCCUCACUGCUCUGAGGCUUACUGAUUCCUAAACUUUCCAGGAUGAUCUUCAGGUUUUUUGCUCUAUUAGAUGGUCCAUGUGAGAGAUCCCUAAGGUUUUCCCAGCUCUUUUCAUCAUAGUACCCUUUGAUUCCACAAACUUGACAUUCCUUGAGACCAUUACCCUUCUUGAGUAUGGGAGGUAACACUUGUAUCCUUUCUGUGUGUAAAAGUAUCCUAUGAACAUAGCUUUGAUACUCUUGGGAUCAAACUUGGUCCUUUGCUCACCUGGUAGCAACACAUAGCACACACACCCAAACACACGCAAGUGAUCAAUAGGAGGUUUAGUUUUGUUCAAUACCUGAAAUGGAGAGACAUCUUUGAGGACUCUGGUUGGGAUUGUAUUGAUGAGAUAGCAUGCAGAAAUCACAGCAUCUCCCCAAAAUCUCUUUGGAACAUUGGUGUGAAACAUCAUGCUUCUUGCAACCUCCAUAAGAUGGCGAUUUUUUCUCUCAGCCACUCCAUUUUGUUGUGGUGUGUAUGGACAUCUUGUCUGGUGAAUAAUUUCAUGUUUUGCUAAGUGUUGUUUGAAGGCAUUGCUAGUGUAUUCUCCCCCAUUAUCAGACCUAAAAAUUUUGAUCUUGGAAUUGAAAUGGUUAGUUACAUAGUUUUGGAAGUUAAUAAAAGCUUCUAAAACUCUAUCUUUACUUUGAAUCAAUGUGAGCCAAGUAUAUUUUGAUUUCUCAUCUAUGAAUGUCACAAAAUAUUUAUGGUUUUCUCUAGAAACACAAGGUGCAGUCCAAACAUCAAAGUGAACUAGAUCAAAACAAUUCUCAUAAAUAGUCAUAGAUGAAGGAAAAACAGAUUUAUGAUGUUUACCAAGAAUGCAAGCCUCACAAGUUUCAUUUUUAAGAGAUAGAUUAGGUAACAUCAGUUGCAAAGCAUGAAAAUGAGGGUGGCCUAAUCUAGCAUGCCAUAACAGCAAGGAUAUGUUCUAAGCUUGGUAUCUUCAAGGAAAUACAGAUCUCCCUUGCUCACGCUUUUGCCUAGCAUCUUACUUGUUUCAAUAUCCUGAAAGCACACAUCAUUAGGACUAAAAAUAAUAUUGCAAUUUAAAUCAUUAGUGGCUCUUUUCACAGAUAAAAGAUUAGAGGAAAAGAGAGGCAUAUAAAAAGCUUGAGAUUCUUUAUCAAACAUAUUCAAAUUUUCUACUCCUUUAAUUGGAAUUCUAUCACCAUUUGCAAUCACAACACUUCCUAGAUCAUUGGCCUAGCAGUGUGUGAUCCAUUGUGAAUAGAGUUUAAGGCAUUAAUACUUUGGUUACCAGGAUUUGCAUUGAGAGCCUUGAUCAAGGCCUCAAUGUCUGACUUCCUGAUAAAUGCAUCCUCAUGAGAUGGCUGAGGCAUGGCGUGAGAGGUGGAGGCACCAGUGUGGGUUGUAGAGACCAAGGCUCUCCCAUUAUCUCCCAUGUGCAUGUAGCUUGGUGCUGGAUGCUCCUGAGCUCUUGCUUCAUGGGCUCUGGUCUGGUUGUAUUUGUUGGCUGAGGCUGGCCUAAGAUGAGGAUGGAUGAUCCAACAGUUGGUUUUGGAGUGUCCUUGCUUCUUGCAAUGUUCACAAGUCAUUGUUUUGUCUCCUCCUCCCCUUGGCUUGAAGUAAGCUUUGUUAGCUGAUGCUCUAUCCAUAUUCUCAGCCUGUGUGCCAUAGAAAGACCUCCUUUUUCACCUCCAAAGAGACCAUCUGAGCCUAUCUCCUUUUGAAGUUGAGCACACACUUCAUCAUAGCAUGGAAGUUUCUUGUCUCUCAAUAUAUGUUUCACCAGAUCAUUGAAGUUUGGGCUGAGUGUGAGAAGCAAUCCAAAGGUCUUGUCUUGCUCACGCCUGGCUUCAAGUGUGUCAGGAUCAUUGGUGCUUGGCCUUAGCAUCUCCAGCUCAGACCACAACUGACUAUACUUCCCAAGGUGUUUGGUGAAGUCUCCUUCUUCUUGCUGUAAGUUGUUGAUGGCUCUCUUCACUUCAAAGAUUCUGCUGAGAUUUGAAGUGUUGCCAUACACCUUGUGCAAAGUAUCCCACAACUGUUUUGUGGUGUUACAAUGUGAGUAAAAGUUCAUAAGAGGACCAUCAAGAGAGCUUUGCAAGGUAGACAGCACCAUGAGAUCUUCCUGAACCCAUUUGCCUUCAUCUACCACUACAACCUCUUUGCCAUCUUCUCCUUGGGUGAUUUGCUUUGGAGCUGAACUUGAAGAGACAUGCUCCCAAAGACUUCUACCUCCAAGGGCUGUUCUGGCCAUCCUAGACCAGGUAAUAUAGUUUCCUGGUCCGUUGAGUGUGACUGGAAUGUGAAUUGCUCUGUAGUGCUCCAUUUCUCUCAAUCUCUCAAGAAAUAAGAUUAGAGACAAAACAGAGUGAGCACAACCAAGAAUUUUGAAGAAAAUACUGAAGAAUACACAAGAACUCAGAUUUAUUAUCCACUCGAUAAAAGAAAUCUGUAGAGAAAUUUUGUGAAAUAAAACCAGAGAGAAAUAGAGUAAGCUUGCGGAAGUAAUUGAGGUAAUCAAGAGCUUAAAGCUCUGAUACCAUGAAAUUGAAUGAAGAACAAAGUGAAGAACAAGAGAGAGAGUGAGAAGAGAAAUCAAGAGUAAGAUAAAUAGAGUAAAGAAGGAUUUUAUUUCCCUUAGAUAUAGAUCUGUGUACAAAGAGGGCUUUUAUAGCCAAAUACAUAAACAUUAAAGAUAUGGAGAGAAGACAAAGAGAUGAGAUUCCAACAGCUAUAUUCUCAACAACUAUAUUUUUGAAUUUGAACUUCUUUUGGACUGUAGUGAACAGUGCUGCGAAUCUUUACAGUACCAAAAUGCUCAAUGCAGGUUUCUCAAAUCGCCCACUUUGACCAAAGUGCUCAAUGCAGGUUUCUCAAAUCGCUCACUUUGAUGCCGUAGGUGAUAUGUCUUUUUCCUACAACAUCAAAAUGCUCAAUGUAGCUAUCUCAAAAUUCUCACUUCAAUGUUAUAGGCAAACUUGAUCUCUUAAUGUCAAUAGACCUAACACAAGCCAAGAAGACAACAAACGUUUAGUAUGGAAAGUUCAAUACCAUUUCACAGCAAAGCAAGAAACGUUCUUCAGUAACUUUAUCUUCCCAUUGAACUCUUUCUAUCCAUUGGUCGUCACUGUAACUGAUGACAAGUUCAUCACCACGAAGGCAGCUUCCAGAACUGAGUGGAAGCUUUCUCAAUGUUGGACACCUUUCUACAUCAAUCGCAGAGGAUUCCUGUAGAUGCUCUUCAACUUCGGUAAGUUACAAUUCAAGCCUUUUAAGCUUAUCAAACGGAGUCUUUGUGCCUCCUGCGUUUUGUCCACCCGUCAAUUUCUUCUCGCUUAUGAUUUCUUCUACCUUAUCUAAACACUGAAGCUUAAGGUAGGUAAGCUUUGAAACAAACAACAACCACGUCAGAUCCUUAAGUCCAUUGCAGCCAGUUAUAGUCACACUUGAGAGGCUCCCUAGUUUUGGAUGUAUCAGAAACGUGUCGUAUGAUGCUCUCCCAAUAUCUAUCUCCAACACACCACACCUCUUUAUGAUGAGCUUACGGAGUUGCAUCAUUGUUGUUGGCAAAACCAAACAUGCUUCGUCACUCUGAAGAUCUCUAAUACACACCUCUUCAAUCCAAUAUGCCAACUCAGGAGCGCUAAGCAAUUGCUUCAAAGCUGAACUGGAGGAUAUGUCUAUGUUUAACCUUUCUAGUCGUUCGAAGCAUUGCAGCUCCUCUAUCGUGCUAGCAUCGAGCAAAACGUUUGAAUCUAGUAGUGCCAAUACCCCUGACUUGAUGCAUUUGAUAACCCAUAAAUGCUCUUGAGUCUCUUGGCCGUUUCCAAGUUGAGAUGUUCUAGACGUUUCAACUUUCCUAAACCAUCUGGUAGUCGCUCUAUCUUUGUCUGUGACAAGUUGAGAUAUCGCAAAGCGAACAAACGUGAUAUCUGUUCCGGCAAUUCCUCGAGCUCAGUGAAAGACAUAUUCAAAACAACUAGCAUUGGCAUAUACUGAAAGAACUCACCAGAGAUACACACCAAGUUGCUGUUUUGUUGGAGAAAGAGAAUCGUAAAUUGAUGACACUCGUGACCGCCAGAUAUCUCUUCAAUCUCAUUAUUCAUCAGCGACAUCUUUCUCACUCCGGUCUAGUUUUGAACAAGUGUAUUGAUAUUUUCAUAACCUCGAUUCUUGGCUAUAUAACGACUUCCGAAUCCACCCACACAUCCUUCGACUUCCCAAUACUCUAUCAAACUAUCUUAACUCAACAUAGAACCUGCAGGGAAUAGAGCACAGUACUGGAUGCAUGACUUCAACUUUCCAUCUUUCAAACUGUCAUAGCUACACUUGAGAAUCAAGAGAAUUUCAUCUUCCUUUUCUGCAAACUCUAUGCGAGGUGAAGAAUUCAGGACGCGCAGUGCAUCAUUCCAUUCUCGCACCUUCUUCUUGCAAGACAUGGUCUCGCCAAGAACAUUCAGCGCCAGUGGUAGACCAUGACAUCUUCCAGAAACUUCUCUUGCCGUCUCCUGAAUUUUCGAGCAGCUUGCGUGUCCUCCAACUUUCAUCUGAAACAAGUCCGAAGCAUCAUUCUCAGCAAGGCACUGGACUUAAAUCGGGUCAGCAACCCCCAUCUGCACACAGACCUCUCGAGAGCGGGUGGUGAAUGCUAUUUUGCGUUUGUUUUCCUUUGUUGGUGAUGGGACUCCUACCUUCGUUAAGUCCACUUUCGUCCACACAUCAUCCAGUAACAACGCAAAUCUCCUGUCCUUCAUGAAGUUGUGUAUAUCAUUGGCCUUCUGGCUUUCCUCUUUUUGGUUCCACUCCUCCCCAUCAAAGCCUAGCUUCUUACCAAUCUCUUCUUGAAUCUUCUUGACAUGCAGAUGUUGAGACACAACAACCCAAAUCACAAACUCAAAUCUGGCAGUGAUCUUGUUGCUGAUCUCUCGGAGAAUAGUUGAUUUGCCUACGCCACCAACUCCGUACAGACAUAUACUCCCGGUUUCACCACUCACGAGGAGGCUCAAAGUCCUUUUGAGAAUUGUUUCCCGGCCAACAAUAUCCAGUCUGGAUCUGGAGAGCCUCUUCUCCUUUGUAGACGUUUCAGUAGCCGGCUCAGCCACAACUUCAAAAACUCCUUUAGAGUUGAGGUCAUUAACCUUUUUCAACACUAAAGACACUCUUUUCCCAUAACCGUAGUUUGAUCUUGACUUCUUUGAACAUAACCUUUGAAGUUCAGUAGUUCUAUUGCUAAGCAGAUAACUGACUUGUCUACUGACGUUAUCAACAUUUUUAAGCCAUACGUUGACUUCUGCAAGCCGUUGCAUACUUUUGGCUUCCUCUUCCCUCUUGACCUUUCUUAACACAUCAGUUUGUCUUGCCUUGAGCUCUUCCAUGUCUCUCUGCAUAGCUGCGAGAUUCUCCUCAAGACUAUUAAUGUAACUCGCUUUGAAGCAUGAAAGGUGGGAAACAUCUUUCAGUACUUGAUCACCAGACAAGGGAACAGAGAAAAAACCUCCCAUCUUUGAUCAGACGAGAAAGAGGGAACCGAAAAAAUGAUAUAAUGUGAGAAAGAGAGUUCCAAAACAAGAAACUUGAAGAUGGUUUCACCUGCACACACCGUUUUUUUUUGUCAUACGGUAGAUUAAGAUUAGAUCAAACAUUCGGUUACACACAUACAAUAAAGACAUUGUCUGAAGCCAAGAGCCGACGAGGUAAUAUAUACCUCCCAGAGCCAACAGAUGAACAAAACACAAACCCCCAAAGCUAACAACAACAAAGAAAAAGAAAGAUGUCGAGAUGCAGGAUAAUAGAACAGAACAACCGGAGAGGAGGCUUCAACCUUGUACCCAAAGACGAGGUUACCUAGCGAGAACUCAUCAACAAUAACCUCAAGAUAAGAAGAGCAGCGAGAUAACCUGGAAGCACACGAACAUCACCAAAACAUAAACUGGGUCGAGAGAGGUUUGAAUCCUUAACCGUCGCUAUAAACACCCUUCAAUCCCAACUAAGAUUUGCCAUUGGACUUUGAGUAGGUUCUCUACGCGCCUCAUACGCACCAACACCCCACGGCGAAGCCUAUAAAAGCUUCCCAAACACACGUCUUAUUCACACAGCCGGUAACUGGAUGAAAACCACUCCAACACCAGGACUAUUACUAACAGAACGGCGGAAAUCGACCAGCAAAGAAGCAUUAACUCCAAAACACAGGUAUCUCCAUCCUAUCCUCACAAAACUAGAAUUGAGCUCACAGCAAGGCUCUGACCAAUAAAGAUCAACAACCACCAGAGAUAACUCCAGAGAAAGGGGAGACACUCCCAAGCCUAGGUAAGUCGCCAACCCCCAACCGCAUCUAAAGCUCACAAACCCCUCCACAAAGACCAAUGCUGCUUGUCACAGAGAAGAAACAGAGGAUAGAGCAUGUUUCCAAAUCAUCCACGCCGACAUCGAAACAAACAGAACCCAGAUCUACAAAGAAAAAAACGAGAUCUGACACAGAUACAUCUUAAAAGCCGACUCCCUUACCCUUCAAACCGAAGACGUCUCGUCGAUGCUCCAACAAGGAGCCCCAGACCGCCGAAUCUAGCUCUCCCGGAGCAGAUCAAGAAUCCAACGCCGAACAGACCCCAACAAGAGGCACCAUACAUAUUGACGCCAUCAACUAAGAGGAGGAGGAGAGCAAAAAUACAAGGAGAAGAGAGAAGAGAAGCAGUCAGUGGCGACGAGAAAGGCCGAACACAAGUGCUCGAUGUUUCUUCUUCAAGAUCGCUCUUUUUUUCUUUACGGCGACUCACGCUUUUCUGGCGAGUAUGAUCCUAUUUUAAUUUUCUUUAGAUGUGAGAAAUUAACAAAAAGUCAAAUUUAUUUUUUAACUAGGUGUUUUGCCCGCGAUACGGGCUUAAACAUUUUUAUAAUUUUUGAAAAGUUAUUUGUACACUAUAUUCAUUAUACUAAAAUAAAUCUUAAAAUAACUUAAUAUUAUAGUUUUAAUUAUAUAAUUAAAAUUUUUAUUUGAUUAAUAUUUAAUUAUAUAAUUUAUAUUUUUAAGUUUUACUAAAAUACUUUUACAGAUAACAAUACAAUAUAUACAGAAAUUAUCUUCUUUUUAAUUAUAUUUUCAGAUUUUGGAUAAUUCUUACUAUUCUUAAUAUUAAUCAAUUAUCUAAUCAAAUUAAUUAAAAUUUCGUUUUUAUUUGUUACUAAUUUAUAUAUUUAAUUCAUUAAGGGUAUAAUCGAUAUUAACCACUCUAACUUUUAAUGUGGGAGCUCCGUUGCGAAAAAUUACUUCGCAAAUAAUAGUAUAGAUUAAGUUCUCUUCAACAAUAUUCUAUUUUUAAUUAUAUAAUUAAGAAUUUUAUUUGAUUAAUAUUUAGUUAUAUAAUUUAUGUUUUAAACUUUUUACUAAAAGACUGUUUCAGAUAACAAUACAUUAUAUAUACAUAAAUUAUCUCGAUUCUGGAUAAUUCAAUAUUCUAUUUUUAAUUAUAUAAUUAAGAAUUUUAUUUGAUUAAUAUUUAGUUGUAUAAUUCAUGUUUUUAACUUUUUACUAAAAGACUUUUUCAGAUAACAAUACAAUAUAUAUACAUAAAUUAUCUCUUUUUUAAAUUAUAUUUUCAGAUUUUGGAUAAUUCUUACUAUUAUUAUUUUUAAUCAAUUAUCUAAUCAAAUAAAUUAAAAUUUCGUUUUUAUUUUUAAUUUAGUUAUACAUUUUAUUUAUUAAGGGUAUAAACGAUAUUAACCAUUCUAACUUUUAACGUGAGAGUUCGAUUCCAAAAAUUUACUUCGCAAAUAAUAGUAUAGAUUUGCACACACCAUUUAAAUUAGCAAAAAAGUCGUUUAUUCUAGUCUUUUUAAAAUAUUUUUUUUUCUGACUGAAAACUGAGGUCUUGUAUUGUAUAAUAAUCAAUAAGUAAUAAAUCCGGUUAUUAAUUUAUUUUUAUAGUCAAGCUGACCUAAAACAAACCAAGGUCUACUUAAAAUAUUAGCCAAAUUAUAAAUUCAGUAAAAUAUUAUUCUCUUGAAGAAUUGCAUCAACACGGAUUAGGAAGUCACAAGGAAGAUCAAGAAUCAACGACUAAAGCCGUAAGAGUGACCAACAAGCUCUCCUAAAGCAACUUAUCUGCGAAACUAUACAGUGUAAACCACUUCAACGACAAGACUUCAGCUCAGUUUUCAAUCAAUCAAAAUGAUUUGUCUUAAUUCAACAUCGGAGAGAAAUGAGUUCCCCUGUAUGCAUUUAAUAUGUUCUCCGUGUGCCAACAUAUAUGUAUGUAUACCUGUUUGUUUUGAGUUAAAACAAUAGUUAUGUACCGUUGAUUUAAUAUCCCUUGAGUUAGAGGCUAGAGGAGCAUGGCUACGCAUUCCGUAGCUACAGCAAGCUCAGUUUGUAGUUUUGCCAUAAGCUCUUGCGAAAGAAAACAUAACAAGUGUAAUCAUUAGCCUUUUCAAGCCAUAACGGUCCUGAAGUUGUUCACAGAGACAAUUCAUCAAACACGUGGAAUGCACCUGGUUCCACGAGUUGUCGCUGAGAUUUUGAGAGCAACAAGAUCCGUAAUGGAAGCAUUUAUUAUAAUUUAUAAACCCUAGACUGACAAACCAGACACGAAUCCAGAAACCGUAGUAACAGAGACAUAAAUACCAUCACAAUCCGUCGUCAAGUAAAGAUUGUUCUUUUUUUUGUGGCGGGUAAUAUUAUAGCCGUUUCCUUGAAACGGUUAGCCUAUUGAUGUGUUUUGAUCUGACGAUCCAAAUUUUGCCACGUUGCUGGGCAAUUUUCACUGCUAUCAUUUGCUCGUGUCUCAUAUAACCGACUACAUAUUACUUUUGUUAAGGGUUUUUAUUUGUCAGAAUUGAUUUCAUAUAUAUUUGUAUGAGCAAUUCUACGAGGGACUUUUUAUUUUGAUUAUUGCAUCAUUCGUUGCAGAUAUACGUGUAAGUUAUCCAAUGAAUUUUCUUUUAUAAAUUAAAAUUUAAAUAUUAGAACGUACGUACAAAACAUUUUAAGUAAAAAAAAACUAAAUUAGCUAGUGCAUACUAUAUUUUUAAAAAUGAAUUUUUUUUUUUUUUUUGAACUUAGCUUUUUAAAAAUGAAUCUUUUCCUGUCAAAAUCUUGUCUUCCUGUCAAAUCGAGAGUCAAAACCGCAAAAAAAAAAAAAAAAAAAAAAGAAUUAAAAUGUUUUGAAUAUCGAAAACCCCGUAUAGUAGAUUUGUAUUGUAGUAUGUUUGCUUUGUACUUUCAAUGACUCAUUAUAACAAACAGAUUCAAUUUGUAAUUUUAUAUUUCUUUAUCUUAUAUGGUACUUAUUGGAUCCCAUAAAUAGCCUAUGUAAACAUGAUCGUUAAUGAGCCGAGUCCUAAUGGACAUGGUUACUAUUUAUCCACAAACAAAAAAUGUCCAUACGAACAUAAAAACGCGAACAGGCCAAUUGACAGCUAUAAAAAAUCCGGCAACGGAACCAAUUCUUCAAGAUACUGGACAACUUGUUCCAAGUUAGGUCUCGCUUCCGGCACAGACAGAGACGAAAGAAGAUUCUCCACUCAGUUUGUGAUCACGAGUUUUGGGUAUAGCUUUCUUUCUCCAACACUCACUAUUUAUGGGACACUCUCUUCACUGCUAUUUUUCUGCCUUGAGGAAGAUUUCAUCUUAAAUAUAGAUUUCACCAAAACCUCCUUUCCUGACGGCCUAUGUGCCUUCUGAAUACUUACUGUUGAAACGAGACAGUCUCAAAGAGAUAAUUCUUAUUCACGGAAUACUUUUCUGAAUAAUACUUUGAUCUUCUCUGAUGAUUAGAAUUAAAACAUAAUACAAUAAUUUUUAGAAAGAGAAACGUAACUGCACUCAUAUUAGAUUUAGCUCACAUACUGAUUAUUUGAUAUUAUAAUAAAUAGAAAUUAACCCUCAAAACUGAUUAAACCAUAAUACAUGAAUAGCAACCAAAUUAAACUUUUGCAACAUAUUCUCUGUAACAUUCCGAGUUGUGAUAUGUGAAAAGGCUUAAGAGAAUUGAUUUGGCUACCUAUGUCACCAAAGUUGACUUACCUUUUCCGGAGCACAUCCUGAAAGAACUCCAGAGUUAAGCGUGCUUGAGCUGGAGUAGUGGAAGGAUGGGUGAGUGAUUCGCGAUAGCGUGCGAGUGAGGCCAAAGCAUAGGAAAAGGUCGGGUGGUGAUUGCAGGGUCAGUAAACAAUGAUUUCGACCCUUGGAAAAUUAACGGCCCGACCGUCGGAUGGGAUGGGGCCCACGGGCCGAGAGAGCGGGCGUGGGUGGCCCAUUAGCCGUGGGCGAUCGGGGCCUUAUAUUCUCAUUCAUUGUCAUAUAUGCUCAUGUUUGAAUCACAUUUCAACAAAACGGCAGAACAAUAAUAAAAAGCGUAUGAAGCUUCUUAUGUGGAGUUUUUUUUAGGAUGACGAACUUGAGGAAGUUUUGAGAUGUCAAGUCGCUCCAGUGAUCCUCUCUCUGUACUGAAACUCCACCCAACAAUAUAUUGAUCACUGACCGCUGCACCUGAUGAUGCAGAGAACCCAACAAACAGUCUUGAACUAUUUGGAAAAACUUCUGUAAGAUUGAUGUGUUGUGACAAAAGAGGCCGACUUGGCUUCUUGACUUCAAGUGGAGCCAUUGAGACAUUGAGCAUAGUGCCAUCAUAAUCCACCCACACUUGUAUAGGCUUUCCACUCAAGAGGUUUAUGCUUUCGUUUUGCCUUUUCAUGUCUGAAUAGUAAGAUGCUGAAGCUAUUCCGACAGAUACAGAACUGUUCACAUCAAUCCCCACGUGAUUGUUAUCAAUGUCACUGAACUCCGGGUUCCAUAUAGUGUCAAGCUCAACAGCAAGAACGUGAGAAGAGGGAGAUACAAUUGUUGAUGUGUUGAAAACUCCCAAGUAUCUGUUUGGCUGCGCAUGAGAAAAAUCCAUAGAAGGAGAUACCACGAAGGCAAUACCGUGGCCACCUUCAUAUCCUGGACGAGGCACCAGAGCGCAAACAAAGUGUGUUGAGAAAGAGAGUGGUUUAGAGGAACUGAGUCCAAUUGGUUUCUUGUAGAAAACAUGACCAGUUUGAUGCUCUGAAGCGCUUGUCAGCUGUAAUAAUCCACUGGGAAGUACAUUUGCAGAUUUAUCUAGAUAAAGAUUCUCUUGGUCAAGAAAGUUUUCAUAGAAAAACCUUUUUUCUUGUUGACUUGAUAGAGAGAUGAGAUGAAGAGAAGAGAUAAUCAGGAUAUGAAGCAGCCAACAAGACAUCACUAAUGAUGAAGCAGAGAGAGUUUGGGUCUAAUGUGCAAAUCUGUCCCCUCAAAACAACGCAAUCUCAUAACCUUUACUUUCAAGCUGGAUAAAAAAAUGAACAAAAAAACGUGAGCUUCUAUUUUAGUAAUCAAAGUCUACCAAACUUUCUAGUACUGUUUAUUUAAUAACAAAAUUCACAUGGUGCUUCUCAAAAUAUUCGAUCUGAGAAAAUAUUUUAACUUAUUUAGAUCUCAACUUGAAUCAGAGUAGACAACCGCGUUUGCUGCAUGGAGCUACCCUGAAACAAUAGUAUAAUAUGCACCAACUUGAAGCUAUCUUAAAUGGAAGCAGACAAAAUAUACUAUUAGAAAAAUAACAUAUUUUAAACAUGACCUUGACCUUCCGGUCUCACAAUAGAAAAACCCAUGUGUUUGUGAUGAUACUUCUACAUAGUUAUGGGCCAGACCAAAAGGAAGAACCCUAGGAAAGCCUGGCAUAUGCAUGACAACUACGAACGUUCUUGAUAUCUCCGGUGUAUAUAUAACAAGUCAUGAUUAGUCCAAGCAUGAAACUUCACUUGUCAUGAUUAAUUCUUCAAUACCAAGAAGAUGAGGGAAAAUUCACCUUGUCCCAAAGUCCAACUGAGGCUUCCUUCCCGAUGCAGCAAUAUGAGUCAGAACUGAAAAGCUAGGAAAGCUUGGAGAGUAAAAACACACUUAUGUUCUCUAGAUGAUGAAGUUAGCUUUACCGUAUUGGGUCUUACUAUAUUAACCAAACCCUUCAUGUGCAAAAGCAAUCACUGAAGCUAAGUAUGGAGAGAGUAGAAUAGAAAGCUGAUGUGAGAGUGGGAACUCCCAUAGUUAAGCAAUGAAGAUACCAGAUCUUCUUCACUUGUUUUGAUUAUGCAAGCAGCCACCAAUAUCAGAACAAGAUUAAACUUAGUGAACAAGAAAAAAUGAAUUUAGUUGAAAAUUGGUUCGGAAUGGUUUUUGGUUUAAAACUUCAACACUUCUUCCAUUCGGAUUCAAAAUCUCUAUGACUAAUUUAUAACCAUUUUAACCAGAUUGAAAUCAAUUAUAAGUUCUGAAAAUAGUUUAUUUGUUUAUUGGAUCGAAUACUUAUAUGGACUGAAACAUCCAUCCAUAUUUACAACAAUCAUUUCAAUAUAAACGGUUGACAUAAUACACACAUCAUGAACUAGUUCUCACAUGUAUGUUAGACUCCAUUACGACUAGGUUUGUAGUCUCUCGUAGGAGUGACUGUUAUCCAAUCGUCACAUCAUAUGUAGCUAAACAUUUUCUCUCGAGUACAAUCAAAACCCUGACAAUUAAAAACUCUUGUUGCAAUAAUAACCAUACACAUUUUUCCUAUAUGUUUAUAAUCAUAUCACCAAAGUGGAUAAACAUGUUGCGAAGGGACAAACUUAGUACAUUAGGACAAGGGAGACUGAUCGCUACAACAAUCUUGAGAGCUGCUAAAGAUCUGUUUGCUGAUAUGAACGGGAAUUACCUCUGACUGCUGAUGCUGUAAAGAUUGAACUCAAAACUCUUCUGUAGGCGACCUGACAGUUUCAACAGCUGGUUAGAAAGUCUGAGUCUUAGGCUUCUCCGCUUCUGAAACUAUGUGAAGAGAGUUCUUAGUCUCUAUUGUCUGUCCCCAAGGCUGAUCUGUUGACUGACCAGCGUAAGGUGAGUGGUUUGCAGAAGAUGAUGACAUCGAGGGCGCUGACCAACUCCAUGAAGCGGAUGAGACUACCAGGGAAGCUGCAUCAACCAGAACCGGAGCAAAUGUGCCGAUCCCCACAGUAUAUGGUGAGAAAUCAGGCAAAGGCAGGUUGUUGUUUAGGUACAAGACCACUUGUUCCAUCGUAGGUCUAGACUCUGGCACGAUAUUUGAACAGAGCAACCCGAGUUUCAUAACCAUCUCGACUUCCUCUGGUAAGAACUCAUCUCCCAGUCUUGGAUCAGUGGCAUCGAGCAAAGCAUCCUUCUUCCAACACUCGCAAACCCAUUUGAUCAUAUGUCGUUUCUCAGGUUGCAACUGCGGUUCCAAUGGUCUUCUCCCACAUGCUACUUCAAGCAUGAAAACACCAAAGGCGUAAACAUCAGUUGCAGUGGAAGCUCCCAUUGUGAUUAGCUCAGGUGCCAUGUACCCUACUGUUCCCACAGCAGCUGUUGUGGCUGCAUCGCCUCCGUGUUCAUGAAACCUAGCCAUGCCAAAAUCUCCUAACCUACCAUUGAACUCAGCGUCCAACAUAAUGUUUGAAGCUUUGACAUCUCGGUGCAGAACAACUUGGUCAGCAGCUGUAUGGAGGUACCACAGAGCAGACGCUAUUCCUUUAACAACCACAAGUCUCUGUGACCAAG